GACGAACGCUGGCGGCGUGCCUAAUACAUGCAAGUAGAACGCUAAGGGAGGGCUUUUCUUCUCUGGAUGAGUGGCGAACGGGUGAGUAACGCGUGGGUAACCUGCCUGUUACCGGGGGAUAACUAUUGGAAACGAUAGCUAAUACCGCAUAAUAGCAGUUGUUGCAUGACAACUGUUUGAAAGGUGCAGUUGCACCACUACCAGUUGGACCUGCGUUGUAUUAGUUAGUUGGUGGGGUAACGGCUCACCAAGGCGACGAUACAUAGCCGACCUGAGAGGGGGAUCGGCCACACUGGGACUGAGACACGGCCCAGACUCCUACGGGAGGGAGCAGUAGGGAAUCUUCGGCAAUGGACGGAAGUCUGACCGAGCAACGCCGCGUGAGUGAAGAAGGUUGUCGGAUCGUAAAGCUCUGUUGUAAGGGAAGGACGAGUGUGAGAGUGGAAAGUUCACACUGUGACGGUAGCUUACCAGAAAGGGACGGCUAACUACGUG
RNAcentral lists this ribosomal RNA (495 nucleotides) under uncultured bacterium. RNAcentral's name for it is "partial 16S ribosomal RNA". It matches the Rfam family "Bacterial small subunit ribosomal RNA", at positions 28 to 507 of the family's 1533-position model. The record is from RNAcentral.